Molecule: long non-coding RNA, 2367 nt
Organism: Oreochromis niloticus (Nile tilapia)
Lineage: Eukaryota; Metazoa; Chordata; Actinopteri; Cichliformes; Cichlidae
Exons: 3
Source: RefSeq, a predicted model, not a curated record
UGUGUGGCAUUAACAACCUUGAAUUAUCUGCCACCCCGUCAGGAUAAAAGCAGCGCCAAGGUGACUCGUAGCAACUAUUGUCAGAUGGUCCUCGCUUUUUCUUCAGCAAAGCGUGAAAGCGAAACGACCUGCCGAAUUCUCCCAGUCCCUCAGCGCUAAAUGGGAAAAUAUUACAAUGCACACACUUCCACCUCCAAAUGAAAUGCCGCGAGGAGGAGGAGGAGGAGGAGGAGGACAACUGUGGAAUACUUAGAGGAAGCUGUAUGUCUGAAACGUUAGGAAUAAGAAAACAUCCCAUCGGUGGGUAAAGCGCAGCUUUAUUGCCCACAUUAGAAAUCCCUCAGGGCCGUCAGUGCUGCUAAUGAAUGCCUGCUACUUAUUGGAUGCUAAUUUUCCUCUGAAUGCCGAGCAUGUCAUGUAUAUCAGGGGCUUUUCUUAAACAAACUGCUCCAGGAGCAUUGCUCCACAGCGCCGGGAGAGACCCGUCAAAAUAAAAGCAGCAUUGAGGAAAGCCCCUGAUCCUCCGACGCUGUUUUACUACACAUCUACUCGUCAGCUCGCGUAUUUGCAGGUCAGCCUCGUGCGCGCUUCCUAACAUGCUCGGCGUUCCAAGUGAGCUUCCGCUGGGUUUGUUUAUAUCCUCAUUUGUUUGCCUGUUUGUUUGUGCGAUCGCCGCGCUCUGCAGCUGAGCUAACAAGGCGCCAUUUUGCCCGGGCGGCUGGUACGGUCCAAUUAAAGCGUGUGAUCAGCCAGAACGCUUUAAUGAUGGUUGUGGAGCUGGAGUUGACCGGCUCGCACAGAGAGAGGGAUGGCGUGCUGCUGUGAGGUGGUGUCUGCGGCGUGCUGGUGUUGUGGCUCAGUGGCUGCACUGCAGACUGGAGACAGGCUGAAAUUAGCCUUCCUCUGCUUCUGUCAGGAGGAAGGCGAGCCAGCUGCACGCGCCGCCUCACGACUCAAGCUGAGGUCUGUGAGUGUGUGUGUGUGUGUGCGUGUGUGCACUCGUUCUUCUUCAUGUAGGAAAAACACAGCAUCACGCCACUGAGGUUAGAAACUUACCGUCCCAGGUGCGCCAUGAUGACAUCCCCAUGUUCAGUGACCUUUGACCUUUAUCUCCUACUGAAGACUAAAUAAAUACGAGACGGAAAGACGCAGAGGAAGACGAGGAAAGUGAAGACAUCAGACAGAUGAAGGUUUGUCGUUUCUCGGCGUCACGGCCGUAUUGUGCUAAUCUCAAAGCCUCUAAACGAAGUGCUGGAGUCUCUGUUUGCAGCCCACUCUGGAGGGCCGGUAAACCACUGAGCGCCUGAGAGGAUGUGGUGGGAGAGAGCUGGACAUGAAAUAAACGCCGUGACAGAUCACUUCUGAGAUGUUUACAGUAAGCGUGCACGCCGGAUCGGCUCCUAAUCCCGAACUCACAGCAUCAUCUGAGCGAGGGAGCGAGGUCGGAGUCAGCUGGUUUCUGCUGAGCAGAUUAUACCGAGACUGUGAAAUAAGUUCAACGAGCUGAAGUUCAAGUUUGAACAAACAACCAACAUUUUUUCUGUUAAUGAAUUUGAAUGAAUUCAUUAUAAUUUUCUACAUCACUUCCUGUUUGCUGGAAGAAACAGCUGCUAGGCUGAAAAGUGCAGUUAGGGGCCCUUUGCUGCUAAAGUAUUUAUUUACACCUAUAUUUAUACCCACACUCCACACUGGUACUCAGGCUGUUGCACUCUAGUUAUAGUAUUAUUUAUUGUAUUGUCUUAUUAUUUGUCAUUCUGUUAUGUUAAAAAAAAACAAAAAAAAAAACAAAAAAAAGAAACCAACUAUUUAUUUAUAACUUUGAGAAAAAAAAAUUCUGUUUCUUCAUUAUUUUUGUUCCUUUUCACUCCGGACCGUGUGCACAUAAUUUCGUUCCACCUCAUGUUAACAUGUGAUGCGAAUGAUAAAUAAAGCUCCUUGAAUCCUUGAAUCCUUGAAUAGGAAAAGUUAGAACUUAAAGAUGAUGGGAACAGAGCUCGAGUCAAACGGGAAACAUCUUUGGUGUCUCAGACUGAUUGCAAACAGCUGCAAUCAGAUAGUUACCCAGAGAUUCAAAUGUAACACCUUUGACCUCUGGGUGGUCACUUUCCAUCACCUGGUGACUGCACCGAUCACCUGGUGGGAGGAAACCUGUCUCCAAACAGCUGCAGUCCGAGUCAGACCGUUUGGAGACGUUUGCCUCCCACCAGGUGACCGCCGCAAUCUUCCUGUGAUUGGAAGCGUCUUCAUGUUGCAUGUCCAACCUCUGAUUGGCCAGGUGGUCUUUGCAACUACUUUCAAUUAAUCUCCAACAAUCACAGCAACCUGAUAUCACGGCAAAGUGUGAGAUGGACACUCCUGUCCACUGUG